Molecule: transfer RNA, 71 nt
Filed under: Timelaea maculata
Lineage: Eukaryota; Metazoa; Arthropoda; Insecta; Lepidoptera; Nymphalidae
Description: tRNA-Leu
Source: RNAcentral
ACUAUUUUGGCAGAAAAAUUGUAAUGGUUUUAGAAGUCAUAUAUAUAUAUAUAUAUAUUAUAUAAAUAGUA